GAAAAGGAAGGAGCAGGGCAGAGGGCUCGUGUGGAUUAACACAACUCAUCCACCGCAAUCCCGCAUUGCUCGGAGGCUGCUGAAUCCCCGAUUUAGCCCGGCGAUGCAGAGCGGCUCUGGGUGCAAAGCUGUGUGCGAGGCUCAGCCUUGCCCCGUUCCCUGCCUUUUGGAGGUGAUUUGUUCUCUGCUCUCACUGCUCAGUUUUCCACGGGAAUCGCGGACUUCCCAGCCAAGCGGGAGCCCCGCAUUCUCCUGCACCCCCAGCCCCUUCAGCUGCUGAGGAAUUCAGAUGAGGACACAGCUCCGUCCGAGGGGAAACUGAGGCACGGAGGAGGCUGGGACCUGCGGGUGCCACCCGACCCUCCUCUCGCAGCUGCAGAGAUGCUGCCGCGUGUUCUGUGCCCUUGGCUUCAGCUCGGAGCAUCUUUUUGGAGGAGCUGUAAAUUCUAGGUGCCAAAGAGAAGGGAAGGAUAAAACAGCCGUAAAAAUCAGCCUGAUUGAAUGAUUUAUCCCGGCUCCCUCCGCACUCCCAAACUCUUCCCUUGACUCACAGCCUCCUUCCCCAGAUCCUGGGUUGUAUUUGGCCCCAGGGGUUUACAUUUGCAGGUGGAAAUUUAAAUUUGAUUUUUCAGCCGCAGCCAAAACGGAGCCCCAGGUCUCUGCAAAGGCCACGGGCUUUUCAACCCCUCUCCCAAACACGAUGUCCCCCCAGCCCUGGGGACCCCCGUGUGGCCGCAUUCCUCCUCGGUCCCUUUCUCAGCCGAGGUGGAGCCCUGCAGCGGGGACGAUGCCGGCCUCAGAAGAAGGCGCAUUGUUUCUUGGAGGGGUUGAUUUCUCCUGCUGUUUGUCUCUGCGCCUCCUCCGGGCUCUCUUUGGCCGUGCCAGU
Cyanistes caeruleus (blue tit) is the source of this 886-nucleotide non-coding RNA. The record is from RefSeq and is a predicted model, not a curated record. NCBI's taxonomy places the organism in Eukaryota, Metazoa, Chordata, Aves, Passeriformes, Paridae.